CAUGUUUUCUAGACUGGACAGGAAGAGGAUCUGGAAGUGGGGGACGUUGACAUCAAUCCCUUGUUAUGGUCAGAUCACUUCCUGUUGAGAUGUAGGCUUUCAGCACCUUUCAGCUUCCAUAUGUGGCUCCUAGAAGCUAUCAGCAUGUGACAGGAACCACACCUCAGGAAUGGCUUCAUCUGACCAGCUAAACAAGGUGAGGGUAGCCUAUGGGUCUCAAAUUCUCAGUGAGUUAUGGAGUUCCCAUGCAUGUGAAGAUAGACUCCGGCAGAUUGAGCGGACAAGACCAAUAGUGGGUCCAACAGUUAAGAAGGUGGUUCCUUCACAUGCUGUAGAGGGAGGUAAGGGGCAGGUGGGGCUUGUCAACCUGGGAAGGUAGCCCAUCUGGAAGGAAAACUCUGAUCCUAAGCCUCUGCUGCCUUGUGGGACAUCUUUGGGAGAAGAAAAUCCUAAGGAGUAAAACCAACAAUAAUCCAGACUGGAGUCCCUAAAACGGAUGGAUGGUGCUUCAUUUGCCAGCAAUUUUUGCAGUCAAGCUAGUGCCAAACAUAUUGCUCUGCUUUUCUUUCAACCACAUCAGUGAGACGGGGGGGGGGGGAGGUCUGGUCUGGCAGCCCAGGAUCUCCGUACACAUUGCUUAGAUUUGCUCCCCAGGGAGGUCACUUCAGUGCUGCUUACCCAGCAGUUUGACUUCACCCUCCACUCCAUUGUCUCUCGAGACAGACAGAUGCCAACAAUCCAAUGUGGCACAAAUCAGAAUGUUUUUAAUGUUUGGUAUAACGCACAGUACACUGUUGACACCCAAUAUAUAUUAUCUUAAUUAUAACACAUGUGUACUCCAUUAUUCUAUGUGGACCAGCUGGAAAAAAUUUGCCUUCAUUUUCAUGACUUAAAGGAAGCAAUACAAUAAAAGAGGGAGAGUGGAGGCAUGUUAUCUUUCUCUUAGAUAUUUGUAGGGGAUUAAAAUGCACAACUGCUGAAAUUUUAGAACAUACGGCCUGCAUGGAUUAUCCUAGUAAUCCAGCCUGCUUGGAAACUAAUACACAGAAUAAAUCUAGAGAAGUAAUCAGAAAAGGAACAAUGGCCUUGCAUGCCUCUUUAUUUAUCAUUCAUGAUAAGCCAAUCAGUGGAAUUUGCUUUUAUUUAAGUAACUGCAUUCCUCAACAUAAUCUGUAUUAAUAAACCUUGGAAGCACCAUAGCUCAGUGGAAGAGUACUUGCAUUCUGUGUGGAAGAUCCCAAGUUCAACUGACUCCUGUCUGAAUCCCUGAAUAUCUCCCACCAGUUAAGUGUAAAUGACUGGAUAGACCAGUGGUCUGACUUGGUAUAUGGCUGCCUCAGAAUGAAGGGAACUUUUUAAAAGUAUGGUAAUGAAGAUAUUCCCCUUCAUGGAUCACUGCCUUGCCGUGGUGAAGUGGCUUGAAUAACUCAGCGAAGCUAUGAACUAUGCCGAGCAGGGCACCCAAGAUGAACAGGUCAUAGUGGAGAGUUUUGACCAAACGUGAUCCACCUGGAGGAGGAACCGGCAAGCCACUCCAGUAUCCCUGCCCAAAAAACUCCAUGGACAGCAAUGACAAACCUAGACAGCGUCUUAAAAAGUAGAGACAUCACCUUGCCAACAAAGGUCCGUAUAGUAAAAGCUAUGGUUUUCCCAGUAGUGAUGUAUGGAAGUGAGAGCUGGACCAUAAAGAAGGCUGGAUCACCGAAGAAUCGAUGCUUUUGAAUUAUGGUGCUGGAGGAGACUCCAUGGACUGCAAGAAGAUCAAACGUAUCCAUUCUUCAGGAAAUCAGCCCUGAGUGCUCACUGGAAGGACAGAUCCUGAAGCUGAGGCUCCAAUACUUUGGCCACCUCAUGAGAAGAGAAGACUCCCUGGAAAAGACCCUGAUGUUGGGAAAGAUGGAGGGCACAAGGAGAAGGGGACGACAGAGGACGAGAUGGUUGGAUAGUGUUCUCGAAGCUACCAGCAUGAGUUUAACUAAACUGCGGGAGGCAGUGGAAGACAGAAGUGCCUGGCGUGCUCUGGUCCAUUGGGUCACGAAGAGUCGGACACGACUAAAUGACUAAACAACAACAACAACAAUGAAGAUAUUGCCUUGGGGACAUCUUUAACUGUAGCCAUAAUAGAGCAAACAGUGGCUUCCUCUGAAGCAGCUAGAAGAGUAUCCUACAUCUGGAAAACGACAUAUAGUCAUCCAGUAAUUCUAAGUUAGAGAAUUGUGUGUUUUAAUUUGGCUACUGGUUUAGAAUUUGGAUAUUUUGAUUCUCUGGUAAUGGAGACUUUAGCAUGCCAUCAAGUCCUGCUCAUAGCCCAAUACCAUUGGUUGCAAAUAAAAAUGCUCCCAUAGUGAUGUCUCUACAUCACAAUAGUAACAUAUUCAUAGGUAACUGUGCAGAUUAACUGCUAUGUUGCAUCUCUGUCAGGAGUGCUGACAUGCAAUGAGACUACUUUGUGCUUCUGUAUGUUACCAUUACAACCUGGAGUUUUCAAAAUCAUGUUUCAGUGUGAUGAAGGUACGAAUCAGUGACAUAUUAUUAUAUUUGGACAUUUGAAUAUCAUUAACAUUUAUUUCAUGGAAAUGGAGUGAUAUGUGUUUGAGUAUCAUUGGUUUCCUUAUCUCAGGCCAGCCGGUGAUAGGAAUGAUUGGAAUUUUCAUCCUGUGUUGUGCUCCUGUUUUAUUAUUUCAUUUGUUUUGCAAUAUUUCCCUCUUUUUAAUCUUUCUUAAGCCACUCUAAGAAUGCUGAUCGACCAUUGAAGGGCAGGAUUUAAAUGUUAGAAAUAAAUAAAUAAAUAAGUGCAAAAUGUUGAAUUCCGUCAAUUUGCAAAUUAGCUCGUUUGCUUAAGGCAUCCUUAUUGUGUGACUUUUAAAUAGCAGAGUUUCCCCCCCCAACGAAACAUGAGAUAAUAUGUCACAUCAGCUAUUAUUGUCUAGUCUCGUUCACUCCCUGCACACAGUAGCAGCAUUUAGGAAUUAUGGUAGGAGGUAGCUGCUUGCAGUCUCCAUACCAGUCAGAGCAUUUAUGUGCAAUAGAAAAUGCCAAAUGGUGUGGCAAUAACAUGCCUAAUGCCGUUAGCUUUAGCGAGCCAGUGAAGCUGCAGUGUUAUCUGCUGGCGUGUUCUCAAUGCAGCCAACUAUUUCUAUCUGCCUGAAUGCUUCUCCAAUAAUGCCCAUGGGUACUGAUGGAGAUGAGCAAUUAAGAUUGACAGAUGGUCCAAAGAGAUGUCAUCCGGUGCAUCAUUUUCCUGCUAGCAAACAUCCUGGUUCAUCUUUCAUGAGAUGUUUUUAAGAUGGACUGGGAAAUGACUUCUAGGGCAAGAUCCUAAUGUGUACUGAGUAGACCCGCUGAUUCCAUCAGCUAGAAAGAAAGCCUGGGAUUUUCAUGUGCUGAAUAAUAACCUACAUAUGGCCCUUGCCUCUGUAAUGAUGGCAACCAACUUGGAUGACUGGAGGAUUGGACAAAUUCAUGGAGGAUGUCAAAGGCUACUAGCCAUGAUGACUGUGCUCUGCCUCUAUGGUCAGAGGCAGUAAUGCUUCUGAGUACCAGUUGCUGGAAGCUACUGGAGGAUAGAGGGUCCUGUGCUCACGUCAUGCUUGCCAGUUUGCCACAAGCUUUCAGUUGGUCAUUGAGAGAAUAGCAUGCUGGACUAGAUGAGUCACUGGCCUGAUCAAGCAGGUUCUUCUUAAAUCAAUAUGUAGGUAAUUUUCUGCAGCUAUUGCUAUCUUGAUAUCGAGAACAAGAGAUUCAAAAUAUGUAUGGUAACAUCUUUAACCACACCAAAAUUUGUUAGUGUAGGACAGAGCUUUCCAAACUUUUCAUGCUGGUGACACAUUUUUUAGACAUGCAUCAUUUUGUGAUACAAUAAUUCAGUUUUACUAGUAAACCAGUGGUUAAACUAACUUCUUUCCAGCCCUGGUGGGAGCAUGGGGAGCAUUCACACAACACAUCUACACACUGCAACCAACACACUAACUUGUCGCAACACACAGUUUGGAAAGCUCUGAUGUAGGAGGUUAAACUUCAUGCAGCAUAUCCAUGAUGGCUUCUUCUGACUUCUUUUUUCUUUCUUUUUUAACUGAAUGAUUGAAAUGCAGCAACGGACAUUUGCCUUUUUCAUUUUCCUCAGAUCAGUAUCAGCAGAAAAGGGGCUCCCAGCUGGACAAUUUUCAGUUCCCAAAUAUCCCAGCCCAGUGGCUAUAUGCUUUGUGGGGGCAGGGGAAAGUUAGCUCUCAAGCAUCUGCAGCUCAUUUGCCUUUUGCAGAUCAGUUCCCUAUUAACUAUGUGCCUAGCAAAAUCCAAGUUCUUUCCUUUCAUGAAUUCUAUAUGAUUGCCAGACCAGGCCAUUUUCGCAAGUUGAAGAGAAAUGGGGUGGUGGUGAGGAAUGGCUAGGCAACAAGUGCGGGGGAGAAGAGAGAGGAACUUAUUGGUAGAAAGAAGUAUCCUUAUUAUGUUUUGAAGUUAGAUUCUUCUUCACUCUUAGGAACCACAGUGUAUUGGACUUCUUGGCUUGCCAUACCAGGAACUGGCCUAGUCAGCUGUCACACACCAUGUUUUUAGUUUCAGUUUUGCAUUGCAAGCAGCAACCUGCUGCAUAGCUUUCCCCUUCAUAAAUGGUUUAGCAUUAAAGUUGUGUUUCAUGGUGUAUCCACUACACAUUUAAAGCACAUCUGCCCGUAAGGAUCCUGGGAACUGUGGUUAACAACAACAAUAACAACAACAAUAUUUCUAUGUCAGCCAUCUGACUCUGGGUAGCUGCCAACAAAAUAUGAAAACACAACAAACUUCAAACAUUAAAAACCUUCCUGUACAGGGCUGCCUUUGGAUGUCUUUUAAAAGUCAUAUAGAUGUUUAUUUCCUUGACAUCUGAUGGAAGUGUGUUCUACAAGGCGGGUGUGACAACCAAGAAGGCUUUCUGCCUGGUUCCCUGGCAGCUGCAGUUCUCAGCACUCUUAACACGCUACAGUUCUCAGGAUGCUUUGCAUUCUCUCUCUCUCCUCACCCUCUCUCCCCACUCCCUUUCUCUUUCUCUCUGUGCAUGCACUUCAAAUGUAUUGGUUAUACAGUACACCCUGUCUGUAGCCUGUUUCCCACCACCCCAAUCUCCAAGCAGUGCAAGAUUCCAGGAGUUCAAGGCACUUACCCAGGCUCUGUGUUUUCUUUUGGAAUGAGGCAUAGUGGAGACUAUGCUGUCUUUAUGAUACAUGGUUUAUUUACACAUAUAUACAACCUGUGCCUAUGAUGGAGGAGUCACAGCAUUAACCUCCCAAGAAGGUCUUGCUUCUUCCAUAGCUGCAGCCUUGGAUUCAAACAGAAAUCAAGCAUUGUUCUCUCCUUCUCUCCAGCUUGCUGCUUUGCUUCUACAGUCAUACCUCGUGUUGUGUCUGCUUCAGGUUACAUCUUUUCAAGUUGCGUCCCGUGGCAACCCAGAAGUACCAUAAUAGUUACUUGCGUGCUGAGGUCCCCAAAACACCCCUACCCCAAUAACUCACACAUCGCAAAUAAUUUUUGUUUAAGGUUUUUGGCAUGAUUUUGGCCACAACUUUAUUAAAAUACAAAUUGUGAGUGGUUGCUUAGGCAUUGGUUAUGACUAGCUGUCCCCCCCACCUUGGGGACAGCACUGACUCCCGGAUUCCAGCGAGAGCCAGUGUGGAGGAACAAGAUCAGGGAUAACUGGAGCUGCGACACAGACCCUCAGCUUCUCCCCGCAUGCUCCCAGGAGCUUACGCGGCCCAAACCCGAUUCCAGGGGUUUGGACGAGAGGAUGGUAAGCCCCUGAAUUCCUUUAAUGGAAUUCCCGUGCAGCAGCAGCAUUGGAGGGGCAGGCACAGCCAAUCCAUACCCCUCCACCACCCAAUUUAAACCAAUGCCUAACCGCCAACCUUACAAGUUGUGAUGAUUUGCUACGCAGUAGACAAAAACCAAUUGGCACACACUAAUCAGCCAAAAGGAAAAAUUCCUACCAGGCCCCCGCACCAAUGCGGAUGACCCCAUGACAGGCAUAGCAAGGUCAAAGCACAAGCCCAAUCAAGGGAGGGCGGGCGGGUGAUCCGGUGCCCACAGCGAAAAAGAAAGGAACAUGCUGUGAGCCUUGUUUAAAUAACCUCUGUUCCCACCCCUAAAUUGGCAACAUCAAAUUUACCCCAGUAACACCAACCACCAAUCCGAUCCAAGCCCCAUCAAUCUAUCCUGCCUGGCAACUAUGGGGUGCUUUGCUCGGCCCCAUCUGCAACACGUGCUCUCCUUUAAUGAGAACACGCUUUCUGGGUUUCGCCACUCGCGCAUGCGCAGAAGUGCUAAAUUGCGCCACAUGUGUACGCAGACGCAGUGCUUCUGGAUGUGAAUGCUUCGAGUUGCGGACGUACCUCCAGGAUACGUCCGCAACUCGAGGUUCCACUGUAGUUCACAUCACUGUCCUCUCUGCUCUCAACUCUGGUUUUGACUUUCUAACUUCCCACGAGUUGGGGGAGGGGGUCUCGCCCAUUUGCCAUCUUACACAGAGCUCCUUCUUUGGUCCCCUGAAUUACCCAUCACCUUACCAGGAAGCAAUUUUGGCUAUUCCUGGAAUUAGAAGCGAGGCCUAGGCCUCAGCAUACAGCCUAUUCCCUGCCAAACUCAUAACACUACUUUUCAGGAACAACAAACAUGAGUCGUUGGCUUCCAACUCUAUUGCAAAACACCUUUGCCAGCUUAUACGCUUUACAAAGUACACUAGACUUUCAGGUAGCUUUCACAUACAAAGAGGCAAAGUGUUUCUUUCUACAGCUGAUUGUUAAGGGACCAGCUACUAUCUCCAUUGUGCAUGACACCAUGCUCAACAAAGAAGAGAUUUUUGUCCACCAUUAUGGCCACUACUUGUUUAUGAGUGAAUAAACAUAUACGUACAUUCACACAGCAGAGAACAAAUUGUUAUUAUGGAGCAGCAUUGCCCUUGAGUGAAAUGCUAACAAUGAUACAUGACCAGUGCCGUGAUUGGCUCUUGCAUCCAUCCUUUGGUGCAUUUAAGAGGACACAUCUGUAGACCAGCACUGUUGAUGUAGCUAUUUUUAUAUGUUUGUAUGUUGUUAUGCAGCUGUUAUCAUACCCUUAAAUAGAAAUAGCCAGAUAAAAAGCUGAAUGCUAGAGGCAUUUAAUGUGAAACAAAGGCACAAGGACGUAUUAAUGCUGAUUGCUGUAGCAAAUUACCAUCAAUUGUAUUUAUUCUCAUGCAUUUAUUUCGAUUUUCAUUUGUGAACACAUUCUAACAAUAAUGUUUAGGAUAGUAUUGCCACCUACUGGCUAUAUUUUAUAAGGCAAAGAUAUCAAUAGCAUGUUGCUUGUGAUCAAAUUGUUCAGAAUUCUUGGCUGAAAAUUGUGCAAGGGAUUUCAAAGCAUACCUAAGAUGCAUGAUUGCAGAUGGCAAAGGACGACAAAUAGAGUGGUUAAGUGUGCUUGGGGUGGCUUCUGCCAAAUCUCUCAUUUUCCAGAGAUUGAUCCCAAAGAUUGGUUUUCCAAAGCUUGGUCCCCCAAAAAGCAAAAAGUCGUGACAUGUACUCUGCAAAUGAAGCAUGCACAAACUGGCCUGGUUCACACAUCACAUUAUUAAAUCAUAGAUAAGAUAAACUCCUCUAUCGUCAUGCUACUAAGAAAAAAAACUAUGGUCUGGUUUGUCAUGUUGUACAGACCCAGUUUCAAAGUAUGUUUCUCUACAAGCAACCAGGGUUUGUUGUUCACUUUGUAUUCAUGGUUUGUUUGGAGUUCAGAUGACUUGACUAUGGCUUUGUUUCCCAGCAAUCUGGCAGGAGUGAAUGAGGGGCAACACCCCCUCCCCAAAAAAAUUUAUUUAAGCAGCAGUGAAUUUUACUGUGGAAUAAUAAGAUAUUAAAAACCAGGUCAGUAAACAUAGUGUUUAUAGGUAACAUCUUCAGGAGGGACAAAUUGCUGUAUUUUCUGCAUUGUAUAUUGGGUGAUCCUAGAAGACUUCAGAAACUGCAGCAGGUACAGGUUGGAGUAGGUUACUAGGUGAAGACUGAAUGAGGGACCUGAAGACAUCUCAAAAGGGAUAUCUGUUUUUCCAGUGCUUUUGAAGAGCUGAUGUAGAGAGGUGCUUCAUUUUAAUUCUUAAAAUCUUAUCCAUUUUGCAUGCCAAGCUAUCUGCUGCAACACAACUGACAGGGAACUAAAAAUUGAAGGAAGGCAAGCACUGGGACGAGAGCUCCCCACUCUCAGAAGCCAAGCCAGUCAGGUUUGGAAGCAUGCAGGCUGUGUAGUAACUAUCCAGGAUUUUGAUCUCUGUGCUUUUCCCACUCUGUUCAUUUUUUUCGCUGACAUCUACCUUUACACCCAUAGUUUCAGGGAGAUGAAUCACCUGACACCAGGCUGACUGAAACCUCAAAUGACAAGCUGAAGUGGGAGGUCAGGAGGGAAAAAAUGCUGCUUGUCUGAAGUGUCUGUGAGGCAUUUCUGAGAAGUGGGAGCUGAUCUGCAUAGUGAUUCCUCCCCUACAGCCACUACACGCCAUGGGAAGACACUUCAUGGACAGUCACAUUUAAGCAGAGGCUUCUAUUCAGCAAGCAGAACAAAGGAAGAGAGAAGGGCCCCUGCCACAAAGCCUGUAGCGUCACUGAUAAAGCACUUCAUGAAUGCUGUAUUCAAGUAUCUUACAUUCACGCAGCUCAG
Podarcis lilfordi (Lilford's wall lizard) is the source of this 8652-nucleotide non-coding RNA. NCBI's taxonomy places the organism in Eukaryota, Metazoa, Chordata, Lepidosauria, Squamata, Lacertidae. The record is from the annotation of a GenBank genome assembly.